This 440-nucleotide ribosomal RNA is filed under the name uncultured bacterium. Its description in RNAcentral is "partial 16S ribosomal RNA". It matches the Rfam family "Bacterial small subunit ribosomal RNA", at positions 338 to 795 of the family's 1533-position model. The record is from RNAcentral.
CCUACGGGUGGCAGCAGUGGGGAAUAUUGCACAAUGGGGGAAACCCUGAUGCAGCGACGCAGCGUGAGUGAAGAAGUAUUUCGGUACGUAAAGCUCUAUCAGCAGGGAAGAAAAUGACGGUUCCUGACUUAGAAGCCCCGGAUAAAUACGUGCCAGCAGCCGCGGGAAUACGUAGGGGGAAAGCGUUAUCCGGGUUUACUGGGGGGAAAGGGAGCGUAGACGGCAGCGCAAGUCCUAAGGUAAAACCCAUGGCUUAACCCUGGGACUGCUUUGGAAACUGGGCAGCUGGAGUGCAGUAGAGGUAAGCGGAAUUCCUAGUGUAGCGGUGAAAUGCGUAGAUAUUAGGAAGAACACCAGUGGCGAAGGCGGCUUACUGGACUGUAACUGACGUUGAGGCUCGAAAGCGUGGGGAGCAAACAGGAUUAGAUACCCCUGUAGUC